RNAcentral lists this ribosomal RNA (1571 nucleotides) under human gut metagenome. Its description in RNAcentral is "bacterial LSU rRNA". It matches the Rfam family "Bacterial large subunit ribosomal RNA", at positions 286 to 1988 of the family's 2925-position model. The record is from RNAcentral.
AAAUCGGACCAGCCGAUGGAUAGUCAGUAAAGAAUCAGAAUUACCUGGAAAGGUAAGCCGGAGAGGGUGACAGCCCCGUACGAGUAGAAAAGCUGACUGUUCUUGAGUAAGGCGGAGCACGAGAAAUUCUGUCUGAAAAUGGGGAGACCACUCUCCAAGGCUAAGUACUACUGAUUGACCGAUAGUGAACAAGUACCGUGAGGGAAAGGUGAAAAGCACCCCUAUAAGGGGAGUGAAAGAGAACCUGAAACCGGAUGCCUACAAGCAGUCGGAGGGUCUAUAAGGCCUGACGGCGUACCUUUUGUAUAAUGGGUCAGCGACUUAAUUUAUGUAGCAAGCUUAAGCCGAUAGGUGUAGGCGUAGAGAAAUCGAGUGUUAACAGCGCGUUAAGUUACAUGAAUUAGACCCGAAACCGAGUGAUCUAGCCAUGAUCAGGUUGAAGGUUGGGUAACACCAACUGGAGGACCGAACCCACUCCCGUUGAAAAGGUAGGGGAUGAAUUGUGGCUAGGGGUGAAAGGCCAAUCAAACUCGGAAAUAGCUGGUUCUCCGCGAAAACUAUUUAGGUAGUGCGGUGAGCGGACACCUUGAGGGGUAGAGCACUGGAAGAGCUAAGGGGGAGCGAUCCUUACUAAACUUUACCAAACUCCGAAUACUCAAGAGUGAUACUCACCAGACAGACAUUAGGUGCUAAGGUCUAGUGUCGAGAGGGAAAGAGCCCAGACCGCCAAUUAAGGUCCCAAAAUUAUGGCUAAGUGGUAAAGGAAGUGAAACGUCCAAAACAGUCAGGAGGUUGGCUUAGAAGCAGCCAUCCUUUAAAGAAAGCGUAAUAGCUCACUGAUCUAAACAAGACGUCUUGCGCCGAAGAUGUAACGGGGCUAAAGCCAUAUACCGAAGUUGCGGAUUUACACGUUAAAGUGUAAGUGGUAGCGGAGCGUUCUGUAAGCCUGCGAAGGUGUACCGUAAGGUAUGCUGGAGGUAUCAGAAGUGAGAAUGCUGACAUGAGUAGCGAAAAGAAGAGUGAGAGACUCUUCCGCUGAAAGUCCAAGGUUUCCUGCGUAAAGCUAAUCUGCGCAGGGUUAGUCGGUCCCUAAGGCGAGGCAGAGAUGCGUAGUCGAUGGCAAUCAGGUUAAUAUUCCUGAACCGGCCCGGAAGUGACGGAUUGAGUAAAUUGUAAGUUCUUAUUGGAUUGAGCUUGCAGUGAAUCAGUCCCAGGAAAUAGCCCGGGCUAAGACCGUACCCGAAACCGACACAGGUGGACAGGUAGAGAAUACCAAAGCGCUUGAGAGAACUAUGUUGAAGGAACUAGGCAAAAUACUUGCGUAACUUCGGGAUAAGCAAGCCCCAUUUUAAGGCAACUUAGGGUGGGGGGCACAUACUAGGGGGUAGCGACUGUUUACUAAAAACACAGGGCUCUGCUAAAUUGAAAGAUGAAGUAUAGGGUCUGACGCCUGCCCGGUGCUGGAAGGUUAAGGAGAGAUGUGCAAGCAUUGAACUGAAGCCCCAGUAAACGGCGGCCGUAACUAUAACGGUCCUAAGGUAGCGAAAUUCCUUGUCGGGUAAGUUCCGACC